Molecule: ribosomal RNA, 266 nt
Filed under: uncultured bacterium
Lineage: Bacteria
Description: partial 16S ribosomal RNA
Rfam family: Bacterial small subunit ribosomal RNA
Source: RNAcentral
UAUGGCGACCGGCGCACGGGUGAGUAACACGUAUCCAACCUGCCGAUGACUCGGGGAUAGCCUUUCGAAAGAAAGAUUAAUACCCGAUGGCAUAGUUCUUCCGCAUGGUAGAACUAUUAAAGAAUUUCGGUCAUCGAUGGGGAUGCGUUCCAUUAGCUUGUUGGCGGGGUAACGGCCCACCAAGGCAUCGAUGGAUAGGGGUUCCGAGAGGAAGGUCCCCCACAUUGGAACUGAGACACGGUCCAAACUCCUACGGAAGGCAGCAG